GGAGAGGUGUCCGAGUGGCUUAUGGUGUCGCUCUCGAAAAGCGAUCUCCGGUUUACGGAGCGUGGGUUCGAAUCCCACCCUCUCCG
Non-coding RNA from Dehalogenimonas lykanthroporepellens BL-DC-9, 86 nucleotides. Lineage: Bacteria; Bacillati; Chloroflexota; Dehalococcoidia; Dehalococcoidales; Dehalococcoidaceae. The record is from Rfam.